RNAcentral lists this unclassified non-coding RNA (468 nucleotides) under Fusarium oxysporum. RNAcentral describes it as "sequence contains 18S rRNA gene, ITS1, 5.8S rRNA gene, ITS2, 28S rRNA gene". The stretch from base 157 to 310 matches the Rfam family "5.8S ribosomal RNA". The record is from RNAcentral. Lineage: Eukaryota; Fungi; Ascomycota; Sordariomycetes; Hypocreales; Nectriaceae.
GAUCAUUACCGAGUUUACAACUCCCAAACCCCUGUGAACAUACCACUUGUUGCCUCGGCGGAUCAGCCCGCUCCCGGUAAAACGGGACGGCCCGCCAGAGGACCCCUAAACUCUGUUUCUAUAUGUAACUUCUGAGUAAAACCAUAAAUAAAUCAAAACUUUCAACAACGGAUCUCUUGGUUCUGGCAUCGAUGAAGAACGCAGCAAAAUGCGAUAAGUAAUGUGAAUUGCAGAAUUCAGUGAAUCAUCGAAUCUUUGAACGCACAUUGCGCCCGCCAGUAUUCUGGCGGGCAUGCCUGUUCGAGCGUCAUUUCAACCCUCAAGCACAGCUUGGUGUUGGGACUCGCGUUAAUUCGCGUUCCCCAAAUUGAUUGGCGGUCACGUCGAGCUUCCAUAGCGUAGUAGUAAAACCCUCGUUACUGGUAAUCGUCGCGGCCACGCCGUUAAACCCCAACUUCUGAAUGUGAC